RNAcentral lists this ribosomal RNA (253 nucleotides) under uncultured bacterium. RNAcentral describes it as "partial 16S ribosomal RNA". It matches the Rfam family "Bacterial small subunit ribosomal RNA", at positions 524 to 776 of the family's 1533-position model. The record is from RNAcentral.
UACGGAGGGGGCUAGCGUUGUUCGGAAUCACUGGGCGUAAAGCGUACGUAGGCGGCUUGUCAAGUCAGGGGUGAAAGCCUGGGGCUCAACCUCAGAACUGCCCUUGAAACUGGCUAGCUUGAACAUAGGAGAGGUGAGUGGAAUUCCGAGUGUAGAGGUGAAAUUCGUAGAUAUUCGGAGGAACACCAGUGGCGAAGGCGACUCACUGGACUAUUGUUGACGCUGAGGUACGAAAGCGUGGGGAGCAAACAGG